RNAcentral lists this non-coding RNA (32 nucleotides) under Rattus norvegicus (Norway rat). The record is from RNAcentral. Lineage: Eukaryota; Metazoa; Chordata; Mammalia; Rodentia; Muridae.
UACAGCUAUUAAACAUGAGCAAGUGACCUUGG